CCUACGGGAGGCAGCAGUGAGGAAUAUUGGUCAAUGGGCGUAAGCCUGAACCAGCCAAGUCGCGUGAGGGAUGAAGGUUCUCUGGAUCGUAAACCUCUUUUAUAAGGGAAUAAAGUGUGGGACGUGUCCUAUUUUGUAUGUAUCUUAUGAAUAAGGAUCGGCUCACUCAGUGCCAGCAGCCGCGGUAAUACGGAGGAUCCGCGCGUUGUCCGGAUUUAUUGGGGUUAAAGGGUGCGUAGGCGGCCUUUUAAGUCAGCGGUGAAAGUCUGUGGCUCAACCAUGGAAUUGCAGUUGAAACUGGGGGGCUUGAGUAUGUUUGAGGCAGGCGGAAUGCGUGGUGUAGCGGUGAAAUGCUUAGAUAUCACGAAGAACCCCGAUUGCGAAGGCAGCCUGCCAAGCCAUGACUGACGCUGAUGCACGAAAGCGUGGGGAUCAAACAGGAUUAGAUACCCGUGUAGUC
Molecule: ribosomal RNA, 460 nt
Filed under: uncultured bacterium
Lineage: Bacteria
Description: partial 16S ribosomal RNA
Rfam family: Bacterial small subunit ribosomal RNA
Source: RNAcentral